UACAGAGGUCCCGAGCGUUGUUCGGAUUCACUGGGCGUAAAGGGUGCGUAGGUGGUGAGGUAAGUCGGAUGUGAAAUCUCCGGGCUUAACCCGGAAAUGGCAUUGGAAACUACCUUGCUAGAGGAUUUGAGGGGGGAUUGGAAUUCCUGGUGUAGCGGUGGAAUGCGCAGAUAUCAGGAGGAACACCAAUGGCGAAGGCAGAUCUCUGGGCCGUAACUGACGCUGAGGAGCGAAAGCAUGGGGAGCGAACAGG
RNAcentral lists this ribosomal RNA (253 nucleotides) under uncultured bacterium. RNAcentral describes it as "partial 16S ribosomal RNA". It matches the Rfam family "Bacterial small subunit ribosomal RNA", at positions 524 to 776 of the family's 1533-position model. The record is from RNAcentral.